UACGUAGGGGGCGAGCGUUAUCCGGAUUCACUGGGUGUAAAGGGAGCGUAGACGGCCAUGCAAGCCAGGGGUGAAAGCCCGGGGCCCAACCCCGGGACUGCCCUUGGAACUGCAUGGCUGGAGUGCGGGAGGGGCAGGCGGAAUUCCUGGUGUAGCGGUGAAAUGCGUAGAUAUCAGGAGGAACACCGGCGGCGAAGGCGGCCUGCUGGACUGCGACUGACGUUGAGGCUCGAGAGCGUGGGGAGCGAACAGG
This 253-nucleotide ribosomal RNA is filed under the name uncultured bacterium. RNAcentral describes it as "partial 16S ribosomal RNA". It matches the Rfam family "Bacterial small subunit ribosomal RNA", at positions 524 to 776 of the family's 1533-position model. The record is from RNAcentral.